AUGAAAUCUUGCCAUUUGUGACAACAUGGAUGGACCUUGAGGUUGUUAUGCUAAGUGAAGUAAGUUUGAGGGAAAAAGUCAAAUGCCAUAUUAUCUCACUCACAAACAGAUGAUUAAAAACAACAACAAUCACAUAGAGACAGAGAUUGGAUUGGUGGUUCCCAGAGAGGGAGGGGAGAGGGCGAAAGGGGUGAUUAGGCACAUGUGUAUGGUGAUGGAUUGUAAUUAGUCUUUGGGCGGUGAAAAUGAUGUAAUCUACAGAAAUUGACAUAUAAUGAUGUACACCUGAAAUUUACAUAAUGUUAUAAACCAACGUUACCGUAAUAAAAAAUAAAAUAAAAUAAAGAAGGCAGAGUAUCACAGUGUUCAGCCUCAGCUGGAAACGUAAGCAUCAGUCAACUCAAAGUUUUCACCACAGUGCCCAUGUCCACAACCUACAGUGGAAGUGACACAAGUACUGAUUUUGAAGUUAUAAAUAAAUUGCAGCAAGUAGGCAAAUUCACAAAGAUAGAAUCUGAAAAUAAUGAGAAUCGACUGUAAUAAGGGGGGGAAUGGGAAAUUCUUCAGGGUAGAAUACCAAUGAAAUAAUGGACUCAUAAAAUCAGUAAUGGAUAUUUAAACUAAUGUACAAAAGUUUCAUGAGAAAUAUUCAGGGGGCCAUGUUGAGGCGGUGUCCCACAUCCCACAACUAGAAGGACCUGCAACUAAGAUAUACAACUAUGUACUGGGGGCGGUUGGGAAAUAAAGCAGAAAAAAAAAGAUUGGCAACAGUUGUUAGCUCAGGUGCCAAUCCUUAAAAAAAAAAAAAGAAAUAUUCACAUUUUGUCAUAGAGUUUUCUGCAAAAGUUAUGCAUUCACUAUACAAGGGGAAGAAACUGACUUUCAUAGUAGAAAAACCCGGUGGAUAUAGGUUAAACAAUGACUAAAGUGAACAUCACCAACAUCAGUACAAAGCAACAUCAUGGGCCUCAUGGUAUGAUGAACUAAAACAAAACAUCGCUUUAUCACAUUCCCUCAAAGAUUGCAAAGCUGCAUCCAAUCAAAGAGGAAACUUCAGGAAAAAACCCAAACUGAAAGAUAUUUUACAAAACAACUGAUCUACACUCUUUAAAGUUAAGGUCAAAAAAGACAAAGGAAGACAAAUUAAAGGAGACUAAAGAGAUAUGACAAUUAAAUAUAAUACAUAAUCUUGGACUGGCCUCUGGACUGGAAAAAUAAAAACAGCUAAAAAAGAUAUUAUUGGGAAAAUUCAGAAAUUUGAAUUGGACAUGGAUUACAUAAAGAAUCAAUGUUAAUUUCCUGAUUUUGAUAAUUAUACUGUAAUUAUGUAAGAAAAUGUCCUUGUAUUUAGGAAAUAAACAAUAAAG
Molecule: long non-coding RNA, 1367 nt
Filed under: Equus caballus (horse)
Lineage: Eukaryota; Metazoa; Chordata; Mammalia; Perissodactyla; Equidae
Description: lncRNA (ENSECAG00000052637.1)
Source: RNAcentral